AAUCUGAGAUGUGUCAUCUCGGUGCUGAGGAAUGUGCAUUGGAGGCAGUGCUGGAGGUGACACUGUUGCUCAAGUAUGGCUGGUUAUGGUUAUGAAGCAGGCUGCGCCUGCUUCAUCCGUGGACAGAUGCUCACUCUGCCUGCCCCAACUCUUCUUGCUGCCACAGUUCUCCCUUUGGCUCUGCCAGCAGAAGAUGUCACUGUUCUCAAACCUGCACCCUUCCGAAAACAAGAGUGAGUCAUCACAGCAGAGAAGCAAUGGAUUUGUGGUCUUAAUGGACAUGCCAAGGAAUUACCAGGGCCUCAUGGUGGUGCAUCCGCCUGAAACGAGCAUCAUCACUGGAUUUGACAGGCACACUGAUGUAGCUGGAGAAUCUUACUUGAAGAGGUUCUCCCAGUAG
RNAcentral lists this long non-coding RNA (400 nucleotides) under Anser cygnoides (Swan goose). RNAcentral's name for it is "lncRNA (ENSACDG00005004041.1)". The record is from RNAcentral. Lineage: Eukaryota; Metazoa; Chordata; Aves; Anseriformes; Anatidae.